This 797-nucleotide long non-coding RNA is filed under the name Capra hircus (goat). RNAcentral describes it as "lncRNA (ENSCHIG00000002338.1)". Lineage: Eukaryota; Metazoa; Chordata; Mammalia; Artiodactyla; Bovidae. The record is from RNAcentral.
AGGUAACACUUGAAGCCAUUUUUUGCAGAGAACUGCACAAACAGCCACGGCUGCUGACAGUCAGUGGUUCCAAGGCAGAUGGAGAAAACACCCACAGAUGGCCGCAAGUUCCCUUGGGGCCUAGUGAAUCCUGGUGAGGCCUUCAAGAAGAGCGGACUCAAGUUACACGGGAUAUGCUGAUGCUGGCCUCUCCUCUUCAUGUGAAGAGCUCACUUCUGCCCAGUCAUUUGCAAACUUCGCACAAAUGGAAUUUCCAAACUCGGGUUGGAAGAAAGCACCUUGAUUUCCUCCUACUCACAUCGUGAAGAACAUCAAAGGCUUUGAUAAAUGAUGAAAGGAGGUAAUAUGCUAGGCACAGAUGAAACCCUCCCUCCACUCCAUUCGGACUGUCAGGAGAGUAAUUGAUGCGUCUCCCAGGUCAGCAAUAGUUUCUCAUCACCAACGCCUGGUGUCCUGUUGGGAACUGACCAUGUCAUUUCAUCUAAUUCUCCGUUGGUGAUUGCUGUCUUGAUAUCAAACCACUCAACGUGCAAGAUCUAGGCAUGUGAUGUGAGCUUCAUCCCCAGUCUCUUUAUAAUAUGUUCUGUCUUUCACUCCUUCACAAACCAAGCGAUAAUCUUACACAAUUAAAAAAAAAAAAAACCUGUCUAGAUAUCUCUGAAGGUGUCUACAGAGGGCAUACUCUUUCCACUUUAAGAAAACAAAAACUUGUUAGUUGAUGACCAUGUUCUGAAUAAAAUUAUACUCUCCCAUCCAUUUUACUUUGAAAUAAACUUGCAUCUUUGAGGCAAAGCAGC